GAUGAACGCUGGCGGCGUGCCUAAUACAUGCAAGUCGAGCGAACGGACGAGAAGCUUGCUUCUCUGAUGUUAGCGGCGGACGGGUGAGUAACACGUGGAUAACCUACCUAUAAGACUGGGAUAACUUCGGGAAACCGUAGCUAAUACCGGAUAAUAUUUUGAACCGCAUGGUUCAAAAGUGAAAGACGGUCUUGCUGUCACUUAUAGAUGGAUCCGCGCUGCAUUAGCUAGUUGGUAAGGUAACGGCUUACCAAGGCAACGAUGCAUAGCCGACCUGAGAGGGUGAUCGGCCACACUGGAACUGAGACACGGUCCAGACUCCUACGGGAGGCAGCAGUAGGGAAUCUUCCGCAAUGGGCGAAAGCCUGACGGAGCAACGCCGCGUGAGUGAUGAAGGUCCUCGGAUCGUAAAACUCUGUUAUUAGGGAAGAACAUAUGUGUAAGUAACUGUGCACAUCCUGACGGUACCUAAUCAGAAAGCCACGGCUAACUACGUG
This 497-nucleotide ribosomal RNA is filed under the name uncultured bacterium. RNAcentral's name for it is "partial 16S ribosomal RNA". It matches the Rfam family "Bacterial small subunit ribosomal RNA", at positions 28 to 507 of the family's 1533-position model. The record is from RNAcentral.